GGAGUUAGCCGGUGCUUCUUCUGCGAGUAACGUCACAGAUGUAAGGUAUUAACUUACACCCUUUCCUCCUCGCUGAAAGUGCUUUACAACCCGAAGGCCUUCUUCACACACGCGGCAUGGCUGCAUCAGGGUUUCCCCCAUUGUGCAAUAUUCCCCACUGCUGCCUCCCGUAGGAGUCUGGGCCGUGUCUCAGUCCCAGUGUGGCUGAUCAUCCUCUCAGACCAGCUAGGGAUCGUCGCCUAGGUGAGCCUUUACCUCACCUACUAGCUAAUCCCACCUGGGCUUAUCCAUCAGCGCAAGGCCCGAAGGUCCCCUGCUUUCCCCCGUAGGGCGUAUGCGGUAUUAGCAGUCGUUUCCAACUGUUAUCCCCCACAAAUGGGCAAAUUCCCAGGCAUUACUCACCCGUCCGCCGCUCGUCAUCUUCAAAAGCAAGCUUUUGAAAUGUUACCGCUCGACUUGCAUGUGUUAGGCCUGCCGCCAGCGUUCAAUCUGAGCCAGAUCAAACUCUGA
Molecule: ribosomal RNA, 510 nt
Filed under: uncultured bacterium
Lineage: Bacteria
Description: partial 16S ribosomal RNA
Source: RNAcentral